This 500-nucleotide ribosomal RNA is filed under the name uncultured Glomeromycotina. RNAcentral describes it as "partial small subunit ribosomal RNA". It matches the Rfam family "Eukaryotic small subunit ribosomal RNA", at positions 591 to 1092 of the family's 1831-position model. Lineage: Eukaryota; Fungi; Glomeromycota. The record is from RNAcentral.
CCAAUAGCGUAUAUUAAAGUUGUUGCAGUUAAAAAGCUCGUAGUUGAACCUUAGGCCCGUGCGGGCGGUCCGUCCUCCGGGCGAGCACUGCUCCGUCGCGGGUCUCACCUUCUGGCGAGCGUGGAUGCCAUUUAUUUGGUGUCCGCGGGAACCAGGACCUUUACCUUGAAAAAAUUAGAGUGCUCAAAGCGGGCUCCGACGCUUGAAUACAUUAGCAUGGAAUAAUGAAAUAGGACGAUGGUUCUAUUUUGUUGGUUUCCGGGACCGUCGUAAUGAUUAAUAGGGAUAGUUGGGGGCAUUCGUAUUCAAUUGUCAGAGGUGAAAUUCUUGGAUUUAUUGAAGACGAACUACUGCGAAAGCAUUUGCCAAGGAUGUUUUCAUUAAUCAAGAACGAAAGUUGGGGGAUCGAAGACGAUCAGAUACCGUCGUAGUCUCAACCAUAAACUAUGCCGACUGGGAAUCGGGCGAUGUUACUUUUCUGACUCGCUCGGCGCCCCGAG